RNAcentral lists this ribosomal RNA (254 nucleotides) under uncultured bacterium. Its description in RNAcentral is "partial 16S ribosomal RNA". It matches the Rfam family "Bacterial small subunit ribosomal RNA", at positions 524 to 776 of the family's 1533-position model. The record is from RNAcentral.
CACGUAGGGUGCGAGCGUUGUCCGGAAUUAUUGGGCGUAAAGAGCUCGUAGGCGGUGUGUGGCGUCGGCCGUGAAAACCUGCAGCUUAACUGUGGGCUUGCGGUCGAUACGGGCAUCACUGGAGUUCGGCAGGGGAGACUGGAAUUCCUGGUGUAGCGGUGAAAUGCGCAGAUAUCAGGAGGAACACCGGUGGCGAAGGCGGGUCUCUGGGCCGAUACUGACGCUGAGGAGCGAAAGCGUGGGGAGCGAACAGG